This 63-nucleotide small RNA is filed under the name Cricetulus griseus (Chinese hamster). The record is from RNAcentral. Lineage: Eukaryota; Metazoa; Chordata; Mammalia; Rodentia; Cricetidae.
CUCCCAUCCAAGUACUAACCAGGCCUGACCCUGUUUAGCUUCUGAGAUCAGAUGAGAUUGGGC